This 254-nucleotide ribosomal RNA is filed under the name uncultured bacterium. RNAcentral's name for it is "partial 16S ribosomal RNA". It matches the Rfam family "Bacterial small subunit ribosomal RNA", at positions 524 to 776 of the family's 1533-position model. The record is from RNAcentral.
UACGUAGGGGCCAAGCGUUGUCCGGAUUUAUUGGGCGUAAAGAGCUCGUAGGCGGUUGGGUAAGUCGGGUGUGAAAACUCCAGGCUCAACUUGGAGAUGCCACCCGAUACUGCUCUGACUUGAGUUCGGUAGGGGAGUGGGGAAUUCCUGGUGUAGCGGUGAAAUGCGCAGAUAUCAGGAAGAACACCGGUGGCGAAGGCGCUCUGCUAGGCCGCAACUGACACUGAGGGACGAAAGCUAGGGGAGCGAAUGGG